This 81-nucleotide ribosomal RNA is filed under the name uncultured bacterium. RNAcentral's name for it is "partial 16S ribosomal RNA". The record is from RNAcentral.
AACGGGUGAGUAAUAAUCGGAACGUGCCCAGUCGUGGGGGAUAACUACGCGAAAGCGUGGCGAAUACCGCAUACGAUCUAC